This is a long non-coding RNA of Triticum aestivum (bread wheat), 1052 nucleotides long. RefSeq lists it as uncharacterized. NCBI's taxonomy places the organism in Eukaryota, Viridiplantae, Streptophyta, Magnoliopsida, Poales, Poaceae. The transcript is spliced from 3 exons. The record is from RefSeq and is a predicted model, not a curated record.
GUGUCAGGCUAGACAGUCUGCUGGGGAAGAUGACAGAUCAACCAGCGAACGCUCUCUGCCUUGCGCUACAUCUGAUCACCUACAAAAGAGACAAGCCCUGAGCAAUCGCCCACGCCUUCACUCAUUUUGGAGAUCACUCAGUUUGCAAAGGACAAGCUUCAGGCCGUAAGCGAGAUUUACAUCGACCUGCCUAAUGAUGGCACUACUGUCUUUGGUGAAUGGCAAGCUGAACUUGCCGGACGGAAGUAUGAGUUCCAGCGGGCUUCAAGAGAAACCCCUGGAUCAGGGGCGCUACACCAUACCCACCUCAAGCUAGCGUUACGGAACUAUUACUUUGGUUCUUUACCAGUGCGUCAAAUCAGGAACUGUCGAGGCAAGUUUUUUGACAUGCAGUGUUGUCACUAACUUUGUGCUUCCAAAAGCAUCUGUCAUGACAUGCACAUAUAUGCUCUGCAGGAACUAUCUUAUGCAUGAGGUACCAAGGUUCAUUAGGAUAACGGGCUCAGCAAUAAAGGGUCAGCUCGGAGGUACUCACCAAAUUGAUCAUGAAUUCAUGUCAGACCAAUAAUCCCCAUACCUCACAUGGAGACACCCGACUGAGACUGAACCAGAAUUCUCGUCACUCAUGCUGUCCGAUUCGGACCAUGUGCACACAUUGUCGAUCCAGAAACAAUUUGUUGAUGACUCACGGAAGUAUAACCUCACAUCUGCUCAGACGGUAUGUCUCAGUUUGGGCAUUUCAAUUGCAAAGUGUUUACUUGUCAGAUGGUUGAAUCUUUUUUGGUUUCUCCAAUUUCUACUCCAUCACAGUUCUUAACACCUGUCCUGCACCCUAAUGGAUGGAUGUUCAUCAUGUGGGACAUGAUGAGCAAGGUUAUGAAUGUCAUGGAUCCUCUCUACUCAACAAAUUGCCCUCGUCUGCCCACGCAGGAACGCGACCAGCUUAUUGCUUGGAAGCUGCAUGAUGCUUUGUUCAAUUUCCUUAACGAAUUCUACCCUGGAUGCAAUGACGAUUGGUCCAUCAACUUGCAAGUAUUAAUGGACACAAUUUU